AGUGAACGCUGGCGGCAGGCCUAAUACAUGCAAGUCGAACGGCAGCACAGCAGAGCUUGCUCUGUGGGUGGCGAGUGGCGGACGGGUGAGGAAUACAUGGGAAUCUGCCCAGUCGUGGGGGAUAACGUAGGGACACUUACGCUAAUACCGCAUGCGCCCUUCGGGGAAAGCCGGGGACCUUCGGGCCUGGCGCGAUUGGA
Molecule: ribosomal RNA, 200 nt
Filed under: uncultured bacterium
Lineage: Bacteria
Description: partial 16S ribosomal RNA
Rfam family: Bacterial small subunit ribosomal RNA
Source: RNAcentral